Molecule: ribosomal RNA, 253 nt
Filed under: uncultured bacterium
Lineage: Bacteria
Description: partial 16S ribosomal RNA
Rfam family: Bacterial small subunit ribosomal RNA
Source: RNAcentral
UACGUAGGGUGCAAGCGUUAUCCGGAUUUACUGGGUGUAAAGGGCGAGUAGACGGUUAUUUAAGUCAGUUGUGAAAUCUUGGGGCUCAACCCCAAGACUGCAAUUGAAACUAAAUUACUAGAGUGUAGGAGAGGAAAAUGGAAUUCCUAGUGUAGCGGUGAAAUGCGUAGAUAUUAGGAGGAACACCAGUGGCGAAGGCGAUUUUCUGGACUAUAACUGACGUUGAGGAGCGAAAGUGUGGGGAGCAAACAGG